UCAGAAGGUCGGGCGGCCGCUUGCGCUUUUUAGUGUGAGAGGAAAGUCCGGGCUUCACGGAAACACGAUACCGGAUAACGUCCGGAGAGCGUAAGCUCAUGGAAAGUGCCACAGAAAAUAUACCGCCGAUGGCCUUCGGGUACAGGUAAGGUUGAAAUGGUGCGGUAAGAGCGCACCGCGUCUUUGGUAACAAAGGCGGCAGGGUAAACCCUAUCGGAAGCAAGACCAAAUAGGCGUUGCAUGGUUUCGGCCGGAUGCGUUUCCGCAUCGCAAUGCGGGUUGGUUGCUUGACGGUGAUGGUAACAUCACUGCCAGAUGAAUGGUCGCCUAUCUUUGUGGUUUCGGCUGCAAAGGGGACAGAACCCGGCUUACAGAUCUUCUGAUAUU
This 387-nucleotide RNase P RNA is filed under the name Alphaproteobacteria bacterium. RNAcentral's name for it is "RNase P RNA component class A". It matches the Rfam family "Bacterial RNase P class A". From Rfam's summary of the family: Ribonuclease P (RNase P) is a ubiquitous endoribonuclease, found in archaea, bacteria and eukarya as well as chloroplasts and mitochondria. Its best characterised activity is the generation of mature 5'-ends of tRNAs by cleaving the 5'-leader elements of precursor-tRNAs. Cellular RNase Ps are ribonucleoproteins. Lineage: Bacteria; Pseudomonadati; Pseudomonadota; Alphaproteobacteria. The record is from RNAcentral.